UGGGGAAUAUUGCACAAUGGGCGCAAGCCUGAUGCAGCCAUGCCGCGUGUGUGAAGAAGGCCUUCGGGUUGUAAAGCACUUUCAGCGGGGAGGAAGGCGGUGAGGUUAAUAACCUCAUCGAUUGACGUUACCCGCAGAAGAAGCACCGGCUAACUCCGUGCCAGCAGCCGCGGUAAUACGGAGGGUGCAAGCGUUAAUCGGAAUUACUGGGCGUAAAGCGCACGCAGGCGGUUGAUUGAGUCAGAUGUGAAAUCCCCGGGCUUAACCCGGGAAUUGCAUCUGAUACUGGUCAGCUAGAGUCUUGUAGAGGGGGGUAGAAUUCCAUGUGUAGCGAUGAAAUGCGUAGAGAUGUGGAGGAAUACCGGUGGCGAAGGCGGCCCCCUGGACAAAGACUGACGCUCAGGUGCGAAAGCGUGGGGAGCAAACAGG
RNAcentral lists this ribosomal RNA (429 nucleotides) under Chloroflexota bacterium. RNAcentral describes it as "Chloroflexi bacterium partial 16S ribosomal RNA". It matches the Rfam family "Bacterial small subunit ribosomal RNA", at positions 355 to 776 of the family's 1533-position model. Lineage: Bacteria; Bacillati; Chloroflexota. The record is from RNAcentral.